ACUAGCAGUUGGCCUAUGUGGAGCUCAGGAGUGUCAACAAUGGCAUUAGAAGGGACUGAACAACACAGAUAACCCAGAAACAGAUGGAGCUGCUUCAGCAAAGACAAAGUUUUGGAGAGAAGAACAGGGAAUGUGUACACUCAUACAGAAAUCUAACAACUAAUGAGAAAAUUAAAGCAUCAGCAUUUGAAGAAAGAACACAGAUGUAAACAGAAAAUCAAUAAGGUUCUUUGCAUCCUCGUCACAACCUGCCUCCUUGCCUAGCUUCAUAUCAUCAGAAGACAUGGAUACCACACAUCAUCCAGAUCAUUGGAUCACAAAUAAUCGAGGGCCCAACACUAAUCCCUGUGGCACUCCACCGGUCACAGUUUGCCAUCGUGAAAAUGACUCUCCUUCUGAGGUCUGAAGAACAGUCAUACUAGACUUGUAAGACUAAUUCUGUUUCCCUGUCCACAGAUGAUGCCUGACUAACGAGUUAUCCAGCAUUCUCCAUAUCUACCUCCUCAUUAUCCUCCCCAUUUGUUAAUUCCUCAAAGAGUCUUCUAAAUGUGUCAAGCACAAUUUUCCUUUCACAAAACAAUGUUGAUAUUGCCUGGUUGCAUUUUCUAACUGUCUU
Stegostoma tigrinum is the source of this 616-nucleotide long non-coding RNA. RefSeq lists it as uncharacterized. The record is from RefSeq and is a predicted model, not a curated record. NCBI's taxonomy places the organism in Eukaryota, Metazoa, Chordata, Chondrichthyes, Orectolobiformes, Stegostomatidae. The transcript has 3 exons.